UGAACGCUGGCGGCAGGCCUAACACAUGCAAGUCGAGCGGCAGCACGGGUACUUGUACCUGGUGGCGAGCGGCGGACGGGUGAGUAAUGCCUAGGAAUCUGCCUGGUAGUGGGGGAUAACGCUCGGAAACGGACGCUAAUACCGCAUACGUCCUACGGGAGAAAGCAGGGGACCUUCGGGCCUUGCGCUAUCAGAUGAGCCUAGGUCGGAUUAGCUAGUUGGUGGGGUAAAAGCCCACCAAGGCUACGAUCCGUAGCUGGUCUGAGAGGACGAUCAGCCACACUGGAACUGAGACACGGUCCAGACUCCUACGGGAGGCAGCAGUGGGGAAUAUUGGACAAUGGGCGCAAGCCUGAUCCAGCCAUGCCGCGUGGGCGAAGAAGGCCUCGGUUGUAAGACCGU
RNAcentral lists this ribosomal RNA (402 nucleotides) under uncultured bacterium. Its description in RNAcentral is "bacterial SSU rRNA". It matches the Rfam family "Bacterial small subunit ribosomal RNA", at positions 30 to 434 of the family's 1533-position model. The record is from RNAcentral.